CCCCUCUCAGGAUCGCACCUGGAGAGUUUCCAGUAUUCUACCAGUCUCGGCUAUGGGACGGAGAGUCAAACAGAGGCAUGCCCAUUCCAGUCCUAGCUUGGGCAGUGGCUAGUGAGUGGAAGGAAAUCUGCUACAAGU
RNAcentral lists this small nucleolar RNA (138 nucleotides) under Ornithorhynchus anatinus (platypus). Lineage: Eukaryota; Metazoa; Chordata; Mammalia; Monotremata; Ornithorhynchidae. The record is from RNAcentral.